UACGUAGGGGGCAAGCGUUGUCCGGAAUUAUUGGGCGUAAAGAGCGCGUAGGCGGUCCGAUAAGUCGGCUGUGAAAGUCAGGGGCUCAACCCUGGGAAGCCGGCCGAUACUGUCGGACUAGAGUCCGGAAGAGGCGAGUGGAAUUCCCGGUGUAACGGUGAAAUGUGCAGAUAUCGGGAAGAACACCCGUGGCGAAGGCGGCUCUCUGGGACGGUACUGACGCUGAGACGCGAAAGCGUGGGGAGCGAACAGG
This 253-nucleotide ribosomal RNA is filed under the name uncultured bacterium. Its description in RNAcentral is "partial 16S ribosomal RNA". It matches the Rfam family "Bacterial small subunit ribosomal RNA", at positions 524 to 776 of the family's 1533-position model. The record is from RNAcentral.